Cavia porcellus (domestic guinea pig) is the source of this 924-nucleotide long non-coding RNA. RefSeq lists it as uncharacterized. Lineage: Eukaryota; Metazoa; Chordata; Mammalia; Rodentia; Caviidae. The transcript is spliced from 3 exons. The record is from RefSeq and is a predicted model, not a curated record.
UGGUUGCAUGCACAGUCAGUUAUUUCAUCCAGAAAAUCUGAAGGCCCUUCAAACUAACCAGGAGUGGUAAGGAAGUGUCUCCAAUGUGAAAGGAGACUUCUGACAAGUCAGCGAAGCAAGCCUGUAUCGGAGAACUGCUCAGUGCAUUGUGAGGGGUGAAUUCAAGAGAGAAGGAUCAACAAGGAAAGCAGAUAGUGCCUCCUGGAAAAAAUCAAUCUUAAACAACAGGUGCAUAUAGAGGAAAUGACACUUCAGAUUCCCUGGGAUGCUGGAACCACAUGCAAAAAAGGAUGGGCAAAUUUGUCAUUCAGAAUUUAUGAAGGAUAUUUUUUCUUCUCACUGACUAAAAAGAACAAAUCAAACACUAGGUUUCCAAUUCUGAAAAUUAGUAGACUCUGGAGAGCCAAUUAAACAUUAUUCCCCUAUCUCGACUCUGUUUUAACAUCCUUCUUUAUUGCACACUGUUUCUUUCGCUCGCAAGGCAGGUAGAUGGUGUUAUCAGGCUAAUUUGGGGACAGUUAUCAUUAUAAUGUAAUUUUUUGCAAUUAUGUGGUAGACCAGGUGGCAAGACAGCAUGGCUUUGCAUUGCCAAGGUGCAAAACAAAUUCAGUGUUCAAUCAACCUGAGAGAGAAAGGACAAUUCUCAUUUGCAUAAACAUGUAGCCACGGAAACGAGAUGCACAGAGGUAUAAGGGGAAAGAGACCUAUUUUACAUGAUGUGCAUAGAAUAUUUGACAGUUUAGAUUGGAGGCGUCAUUGAUGUGGGUUGGAAUGGCACGGUUGGUUGCCAUGGAUAUGGUUUUCCCUACUGGCAGUGCAGAGAUUGGCAGGGAUGGAUGCUGGAAAAAAAAAAAAAGCCCAAAGCACUGCAAUACUCUGGCAGCCUCAUUCUUUUCUUUUGUUGAAAAGCUAUGUAUCCUUUCU